UACGGAGGUGGCAAGCGUUGCUCGGAAUCACUGGGCGUAAAGGGCGCGUAGGCGGGGAGGUAAGUCGGGUGUGAAAUCCCUCGGCCCAACCGAGGAACUGCGCCCGAGACUGCUUCUCUUGAGUCCCGGAGAGGAAGAUGGAAUUCCCGGUGUAGCGGUGAAAUGUGUAGAGAUCGGGAGGAACACCGGUGGCGAAGGCGGUCUUCUGGACGGUGACUGACGCUGAGGCGCGAAAGCUAGGGGAGCGAACAGG
RNAcentral lists this ribosomal RNA (253 nucleotides) under uncultured bacterium. Its description in RNAcentral is "partial 16S ribosomal RNA". It matches the Rfam family "Bacterial small subunit ribosomal RNA", at positions 524 to 776 of the family's 1533-position model. The record is from RNAcentral.